AGAGAGCAUCAAAUUUCA
RNAcentral lists this non-coding RNA (18 nucleotides) under Mus musculus (house mouse). The record is from RNAcentral. Lineage: Eukaryota; Metazoa; Chordata; Mammalia; Rodentia; Muridae.